RNAcentral lists this ribosomal RNA (497 nucleotides) under uncultured bacterium. RNAcentral's name for it is "partial 16S ribosomal RNA". It matches the Rfam family "Bacterial small subunit ribosomal RNA", at positions 28 to 507 of the family's 1533-position model. The record is from RNAcentral.
GAUGAACGCUGGCGGCGUGCCUAAUACAUGCAAGUCGAGCGAACAGACUAGGAGCUUGCUCCUCUUACGUUAGCGGCGGACGGGUGAGUAACACGUGGAUAACCUACCUUUAAGACUGGGAUAACUUCGGGAAACCGGAGCUAAUACUGGAUAAUAUAUUCAACCGCAUGGUUCAAUAUUGAAAGACUGUUUUUCUGUCUCUUAUAGAUGGAUCCGUGUCGCAUUAGCUAGUUGGUAAGGUAAUGGCUUACCAAGGCAACGAUGCGUACCCGACCUGAGAGAGUGAUCGGCCACACUGGAACUGAGACACGGUCCAGACUCCUAAGGGAGGCAGCAGUAGGGAAUCUUACGCAAUGGGCGAAAGCAUGACGGAGCAACGCGGAGUGAGUGAUGAAGGUCUUCGGAUAGUAAAACUCGGUUAUGAGGGAAGAACAAAUGUGUAAGUAAAUAUGCACGGAUUGACGGUACCUAAUCAGAAAGCCACGGCCAACUACGUG